GGUUCGAUGCCACGUCGCCGGUAGCCAAAGUUGCAUUGACCGGCGAUGCUAUGAUCGGACCUAUAACAAGCUUCCGCGUUUCGCAUCAUUAUAGGAACCUGUGAACUGAUAAGUUUUCGUUCAUUCACAGAGCCGGUUUUUGCGAUUACAUUC
Small nucleolar RNA from Cynara cardunculus var. scolymus (artichoke), 153 nucleotides. RefSeq annotates it as small nucleolar RNA snoR2/U65. The transcript has a single exon. Lineage: Eukaryota; Viridiplantae; Streptophyta; Magnoliopsida; Asterales; Asteraceae. The record is from RefSeq and is a predicted model, not a curated record.